CCGCGAAUUCGCCCUUCGGGGUGAGCAGGCGCGAAAACUUUACAAUGCUGGCAACAGCGAUAAGGGGACCUCGAGUGCCAGGUUACAAAUCUGGCUGUCGUGAUGCCUAAAAAGCAUUGCAUAGCAAGGGCCGGGCAAGACCGGUGCCAGCCGCCGCGGUAACACCGGCGGCUCGAGUGGUAACCGUUAUUAUUGGGUCUAAAGGGUCUGUAGCCGGCCGGAUAAGUCUCUUGGGAAAUCCAGCAGCUCAACUGUUGGGCUUUCAGGAGAUACUGUCUGGCUCGAGGCCGGGAGAGGUGAGAGGUACUUCAGGGGUAGGGGUGAAAUCUUGUAAUCCUUGAAGGACCACCAGUGGCGAAGGCGUCUCACCAGAACGGACCUGACGGCAAGGGACGAAAGCUAGGGGCACGAACCGGAUUAGAUACCCGGGUAGUCCUAGCCGUAAACGAUACUCGCUAGGUGUCGGCCACGGUGCGACCGUUGUCGGUGCCGUAGGGAAGCCGUGAAGCGAGCCACCUGGGAAGUACGGCCGCAAGGCUGAAACUUAAAGGAAUUGGCGGGGGAGCAC
RNAcentral lists this ribosomal RNA (568 nucleotides) under uncultured archaeon. RNAcentral's name for it is "bacterial SSU rRNA". It matches the Rfam family "Archaeal small subunit ribosomal RNA", at positions 310 to 879 of the family's 1478-position model. The record is from RNAcentral.